UACGGAGGAUGCAAGCGUUAUCCGGAAUUAUUGGGCGUAAAGGGUCCGCAGGUGGUGAAUCAAGUCUGUUGUCAAAGCGUGGAGCUUAACUCCAUAAGGGCAAUGGAAACUGAUUGACUAGAGUACAGUAGGGGUUGCGGGAAUUCCCAGUGUAGCGGUGAAAUGCGUAGAUAUUGGGAAGAACACCAGCGGCGAAGGCGCGCGACUGGACUGAGACUGACACUGAGGGACGAAAGCUAGGGGAGCGAAAGGG
RNAcentral lists this ribosomal RNA (253 nucleotides) under uncultured bacterium. RNAcentral's name for it is "partial 16S ribosomal RNA". It matches the Rfam family "Bacterial small subunit ribosomal RNA", at positions 524 to 776 of the family's 1533-position model. The record is from RNAcentral.